GACGAACGCUGGCGGCGUGCUUAACACAUGCAAGUCGAACGCUGAAGCUCAGCUUUUGUUGGGUGGAUGAGUGGCGAACGGGUGAGUAACACGUGAGUAACCUGCCUCCUUCUUUGGGAUAACGCCCGGAAACGGGUGCUAAUACUGGAUAUUCACUGGUCUUCGCAUGGGGGUUGGUGGAAAGGGUUUUUCUGGUGGGGGAUGGGCUCGCGGCCUAUCAGCUUGUUGGUGGGGUGAUGGCCUACCAAGGCUUUGACGGGUAGCCGGCCUGAGAGGGUGACCGGUCACAUUGGGACGGAGAUACGGCCCAGACUCCUACGGGGGGCGGCAGUGGGGACUAUUGCACAAUGGGCGCAAGCCUGAUGCAGCGACGCCGCGUGAGGGAUGGAGGCCUUCGGGUUGUGAAACUCUUUCGCUCAUGGUCAAGCCGCAACAAUGGUUGUGGUGAGGGUAGUGGGUAAAGAAGCGCCGGCUAACUACGUG
Molecule: ribosomal RNA, 483 nt
Filed under: uncultured bacterium
Lineage: Bacteria
Description: partial 16S ribosomal RNA
Rfam family: Bacterial small subunit ribosomal RNA
Source: RNAcentral